GGGGCAGCAGCCCAUAGCUUUGGGUGGGCAGCAGCCUAUAGAUAUAAAGAAAUGAACAGGAAGGGUCAGCAAGGAGCUGGAAGGUAAAGCAGCACAAAGGUAAAGUAGAAGGAGCAGAAAGGGUCAGAAAUGAGCUGGAAGGGGCAGAAGGAGUACAAACAUAAAGUAGGAGAAUGAGCAGGAAGGGCCUGCAAGGAGCAGGAAGGAGCAGAAAGGGGCAGAAAUGAGCUGGAAGGGGCAGAAGGAGCACAAACAUAAAGUAGGAGAAUGAGCAGG
Non-coding RNA from Pelobates cultripes (western spadefoot toad), 276 nucleotides. NCBI's taxonomy places the organism in Eukaryota, Metazoa, Chordata, Amphibia, Anura, Pelobatidae. The record is from the annotation of a GenBank genome assembly.